This is a long non-coding RNA of Tachysurus fulvidraco (yellow catfish), 404 nucleotides long. RefSeq lists it as uncharacterized. The record is from RefSeq and is a predicted model, not a curated record. The transcript is spliced from 3 exons. NCBI's taxonomy places the organism in Eukaryota, Metazoa, Chordata, Actinopteri, Siluriformes, Bagridae.
UUGUCUAAAAGGGCAUGGACAGAGGUUUGCAUACUGGACCGAAGAAUCAUCCCAACUCCUUCAGGGAACACUUGAGUCUGUCUUCAGGGUUUCAAAAUUAACCACCACCAAACUGUUGCCCAGCAGAAGAGUUGUGGUUGAAAUGGACAUUAAUAAGGUGCAGCAGCCAACCAUUCUGAGAGACCUGUAUACAGCGUGGAACUGGUACGCAGUCACAGAGACUAAUUCUGUGGGGAGGUGACAGCCUGCUUUUCUGCAAAUGAGCAAUGAUGACCAACAAAAUGCCCUCAAAAGGGUCAUGUGUGAUGAAUUCCCUGAGGCAAAGGAUGACUUUAUGCUUAUUUUUCAAUGACAAGAGGACAUGUAAACAUUUUUGUCCUACUGCAUUGAUGAAAAAGGCUUGA